RNAcentral lists this ribosomal RNA (250 nucleotides) under uncultured bacterium. RNAcentral describes it as "partial 16S ribosomal RNA". It matches the Rfam family "Bacterial small subunit ribosomal RNA", at positions 524 to 773 of the family's 1533-position model. The record is from RNAcentral. RNAcentral also lists the same sequence under 1 other name.
UACGUAGGGGGCGAGCGUUGUCCGGAAUUAUUGGGCGUAAAGCGCGCGCAGGCGGUCUUUUAAGUCUGAUGUGAAAGCCCACGGCUUAACCGUGGAGGGCCAUUGGAAACUGGAGGACUUGAGUGCAGAAGAGGAGAGUGGAAUUCCACGUGUAGCGGUGAAAUGCGUAGAGAUGUGGAGGAACACCAGUGGCGAAGGCGACUCUCUGGUCUGUAACUGACGCUGAGGCGCGAAAGCGUGGGUAGCGAAC